Molecule: long non-coding RNA, 289 nt
Filed under: Sorghum bicolor (sorghum)
Lineage: Eukaryota; Viridiplantae; Streptophyta; Magnoliopsida; Poales; Poaceae
Description: long non-coding RNA (SBIC_LNC004134)
Source: RNAcentral
UAAGGGCGUCCGCAAUGGUGUUUAAAUCCCUAGCUAUUUGAUCAUAGGAAGAAUGUUAUUGGCUCUCAAUGGUAAUUUGCAAAUAGCUAGCUUAAGAAGUCGCUAGCUAUUAGAAAGUCACUAGCUGUUGUGGAGAGUAUUGUGAGAGAAUUAUUUCUAGAAGAUUGUGCUAGAUUAGCAAUUUAUGAGUCGCUAGCUACUAGGAAGUCGCUAGCUAUUUGAUCUCUCUCCUCGAUAGCCAAUGAGAAUGCUACUUUUUUAUUAUUUUUAUACAUCAUCUCGUUAGCUA